CUUGCAUCAUUGUAAAAAUGAUGCAGGAUCGACUAUGUCGAAUAAAAUUCUAGGUAGAAUUAUGAUAAUGACAUUGUCUGCCUAUGUGUCUUGACCAAAUUACGUGCCAGCAGUCGCGGUAAUACGUAGAAGACUAGUGUUAUUCAUGUUUAAUCGGUUUAAAGGGUACCUAGACGGUAAAUCAAGCCUAAAAUUAAAUGAAGGGACUAAUUUACUAGAGUUACUUAUGAGGGGGUAUUAAAGUACUGCUGGUGUAGAGAUGAAAUUCUGUCAUACCUCUUUUCAAUAGAAAAACAAUGGCACAGGUAUAGGCGAAAGCAUCCCCUUAUGUGAUAACUGACGUUGAGGGACGAAGGCUUUGUGUAGCGAACAGGAUUAGAUACCCCAGUAGUCAAAGCAGAAAAUGAUGAAUGUCAUAGAUUAGAUAAAUAAGUUUAUUCUAUAAAUGAAAGUGUAAGCAUUCCACCUCAAGAGUAAUUUGGCAACAUUGGAACUGAAAUCAUUAGACCGUUUCUGAAACCAGUAGUGAAGUAUGUUGUUUAAUUUGAUGAUCCGCAAAAAACCUUACCNCAAUUUGAAUAUUUAUAUUUUUUUAUUGUUUUUUUUUUAAUUUUCUUCUGAUUUUAUUUUUCUAAAGAAAAAAAGAAAAAGAGGCGAUAUGAUAUAUUUACAAGCGUUGCACGGCUGUCUUCAGUUAAUGUCGCGAGACUUUGGUUAGUUCCAUUAAAUUAACGUAAACCCUUACUUUAUUUUUAUAUAGAGUAGUUCCCCGCUAUAUUGGAUAUGAUA
This 789-nucleotide ribosomal RNA is filed under the name Hypogymnia imshaugii. RNAcentral's name for it is "partial 12S ribosomal RNA". It matches the Rfam family "Bacterial small subunit ribosomal RNA", at positions 388 to 1147 of the family's 1533-position model. Lineage: Eukaryota; Fungi; Ascomycota; Lecanoromycetes; Lecanorales; Parmeliaceae. The record is from RNAcentral.